Molecule: long non-coding RNA, 535 nt
Organism: Daphnia carinata
Lineage: Eukaryota; Metazoa; Arthropoda; Branchiopoda; Diplostraca; Daphniidae
Exons: 3
Source: RefSeq, a predicted model, not a curated record
UCUGACAGCGGGGUAACACAAACAGAUCAGCCCUGUCAACUAAAUAAACUGAAGAAAAAAGAGAAAAUUUUUAUUUUCGGUUUCAAGCAUUUUUGUAAAUAAAUAAUUUUUGUUAUUGCGGUAACGCAUUUCUCGUGUCGAAUGAGAAUGGCAAACACUGGCUCCCCUUGAAGGAUCGUCGAAUGGAUAACUGUUGCGAUGGGUAUCCUGAUUUCCUGCUAUCAGUCAUGCUGUAGACCUAAGAUUGCAAAUGGAGAAUCCAUCAACCCGUAUGCAUCGGAAUACAGACGGAGGUCAGAACAGGAUGUGAUGAGAGAAAGGCAAAUCCGAGAUGAAGUCUGUGGUCUACUUGUGCCUUCCUCAUCAAGGUGCAGUAAUUCUAGAAAAGCAGAUAUUAUAAAAAAGCCACAGAAAGGAAUGAUGUUUUAUUCAUGCACUACCUAUGAAUUUGUGAAAUAAUUUUCGAUGAUGCUCAACAAUCACUUGGCUCAACUUUGUUUUUAAAUUCUUGACACAUUUGAUGAUUCUUGAUGUC